Molecule: long non-coding RNA, 2021 nt
Filed under: Equus caballus (horse)
Lineage: Eukaryota; Metazoa; Chordata; Mammalia; Perissodactyla; Equidae
Description: lncRNA (ENSECAG00000052994.1)
Source: RNAcentral
CUACACCCCCAAACUGAGACAAACACAUUGUAUCAGAAAGAGAGUUGAGGAACAAAAGCUCCAAGACUCAAAUAACUACUAGAAACUUCAGAACAGACACCCCACUGACAUCAUCCUUUAAAUGUAGGAAGGAGCUUCAUACUCGUCUUGCAACCCAGGAUAUGGACUCGCCUUCCCUGUUUGCUUACCUUCCUAUGACCUGCCAUUUCUAGCCUUCUGUCUCUGCCAAAAAACAAAGUUUUGUUCUGACUACAUGAAAGAACAUUGCUGGAGUCUGCGGCUGUUUGGAAGAAUAUCUCCAAGUGUGAGGCUGAACGUCUUCAAUUAAUUUUCAAAGAACGUUUUCUUCCAUGGAGAUGUGUUUGGGAUUUCGGGACUCAAAGCAUUGUGUUUUAAGCCUUGUUUCAAACUGAGCAUCCUUCUUUAAUUUUUCUCAUCACACAGAGUGUACACUAGUAGGCAGCUCCCUGGGACCUGUGUCUGAUCACAGCCCACAUUCAGCGGGAGGGACCUUCCAAGGCAAGAUCUAAAGUGGCGAUAGCACAGAAAGAAACAGAAGCCUUCUGAGAAGCUCCUUUUGUCUUUCAUAAGUGAAGUGGAAGAACCAGGACUGGACAGAUGGAGAAAUUGAACUGUGAUGCAAUUGAAACAAAGGCCUCAGCUGAUCCCUGGGGGAGCACUGGAGCAGGAAGGCCCCUCAGAGUUAUCCUGAAUUGAGGCAAAGAGGCCGGUCCUUUCAACUUUCCUGGCCCCAACAUCAGUCAGUCAUUGAAUGCAGGCUGCCCCUAGGGAGAAGGCACAGACUUAGGCAAGGCAGCUCCCUUUGGCAGAAGACAAAGCCCAGAGAAAGAGGGAACUCCUGGAGACAAAACUGGCUGUCUUUUUCGGCAACCAACACUCCUAGCUGUCAACAGACAGAAUGAGCCCAUAAAAGUGGGGCGGGUGGGGGGGUGUGGGCAGCAGCCACUGAGGAUCUAUCCCCAGCUUUGCCACCAGCAAGUGAACCCGAACAACCCACUCAGCUUUCCUAAGUUUUCGUUUCCUUAUAUGGAUGUAAGGGAAGCAGAAGAGCCAAGUUCUACCUGAUAUACUUUGCAUUCUGACUUUUUAUUUUAAGAAUUAUUCUAAUUUUCUGUUUCAUUUGCAGUUUUGAAAAUGAUAUUUUCAAGACAGGGCAAAGAGGAGAGAAUCAGAUGGGAAUAUUUUCUGAUUUUCAUAAAAACAGAUGGUUCUAUCUAUGCACUGCUUCAUUUAAAAUAACCUCAAAGUCAGUAUUUAGUUUCCAUAAGCUGAGGAUUUCUGACUUUCUUUUAUCACUCCGCAUCUUCACAAGGUUUCUUGGUUUUAUUAUGCUGCCUGGCUUUGUCACUGUGCUGUGGAAUCCAUUGCUUUAUUUUACGAUCCUAAGUUGUAUCUAUUCACCUUUAAACACACAUACACACGAAGACCAAUUUUCACUGAUGAAUCUAAAAAAGACUUCAGAAUACAAUCUUAUCAAUGUCACUGUGAUUGGGUAAGACUGCUUUUAAACUAUCCCUGGGCAAAAGGUUGAUAACCCAUUCUUAAAUGUCUCCAAGGUGCUCUGUAGGAAUGCGAUAUAUCUUUCAUUCAAGGAUCAGCAACCCCUACAGGUAGGAAGUUCUUUCUGAUAUCUAACCUAAAUCUCUCCUACUGCAAUUUCAUGCCACUUCCUUUUCAUCCUUAAUGAAUUAGGAAAGGAGCUGGUAAUCACCGUCAGUCACUUAACUCUUAGAAUUUUCAUAUGUUUAACUUUACUAGAAUUUAUUUAUACCCAAACAUUGUCUCCUCCAUGACAUUUCAUCCCACUUAGCUAGUAUCUACUAUUUAACUCUUAAGAAAUAUUAUUUAGUCUUUUUAGUACAUUUUCUAGCUUCUAUAUAUAUUUCAUAAACUAUGGCAACCAAACUUAAUGAGUCUUUAAAACACCGUGAAUGAUGAAGUCUUUGUUAAUUUGGGGGUUGGCAUGUUACAAUCUAACGUAGAUUAGCUUUCAAAUUGCC